UUUUGUUAGGUUUAGGGUUUAAAUAGGUUAUGAGUGAUUAGCUCCAACUAAAGAUUGCUAACCUGUGAUAUUCAUCAUUAGGAUUUUCAUUAAUGUAUGUCUCUAGUUUAGCUAGCUAGAACUUGCCCUAGGAGUCAUCACUUGCAUCUCACCCUGAAUCCGUCCUAAUUGCGUUAAGAUUGCUAGAGUAAGGCGAAAACUGAUCUAGGAAGCCUAGUGAGCAUAAUUCAACCCGUGCGUAAAGCUUGACUAAGAACGUGUCGAUCGAUAUUCCUAUAGAACAAUCAAUGUCGAUCGAUAUUCCUCUAGAAUCAUCGAUCGACAGUUAUAUCUGGUCAAUAAACAAACCUAAAAGCGAACAUCAGUCAGUUUAUUUAUAAGUGUUUGAGCUCUAUAACAUCAUGCAUACAACUUGUUAGGUAUCUGUAGGAUUAUAAUCCUGAUUACCUGAAUAGAAACCAUAAGUCUAGCUAUUUCAUCUAAAGCACCAAAAACCCAAUCAAAUCAAUCGAGCAACUGCCUUGCUCACAAAUCUGCUUUUUACAUUUAAUCAUAAUAAACCUAGAUUAAUCACUCUGAUUAGAUUUAUUAGGUUCCCUAGCUCCUCGUGGAUUUGAUCCUAAGUACUACAACUAAACCUCUUAUUUGAGAGAGUAAUUCACUCCUUAGGGUAAUUUGAGUGAGAUAAAUCUUAUCCAGGAAAGGAAUUGCCUAAAUACUUGUUUUGGGCUGUUGCAAAGAGUUUCAACAUUGGUGACUAUGAUAGAGCUCUAACAGCACUGAAGGCGUUUGAUGCAGGAGUGUAUGAAGCAGUGUUAUCAAAGAAUCCGAGUAAUUGUAGUCGUGCUUUCUUCAGCUCAACUUUGGUGUGUGAAGAUCUAUCAAACAACUUUUAUGGGUCAUACAACAAUACACUCAACACUGCUCGAGAGAUGCCAUUAGUGGAGAUGUUGGAGAAAGUUCAGCUAUGAUCCGUAUAGAUACAAGAAAGACUAAUGCAUUGAGGUGGCAAGGAAAAUACAGUGAAAAAGUGGUUGAAACAAUCAAGGAAGAGAAGAAGCAUUUGUUCGACUGUCGCAUUGUUCCUAGUGGCAAUGGUGUGUAUCAAGUUAGGGAAAAUAGUCAUACUUAUACAGUGGAUAUGCUUGCAAAGACUUGUGGUUGUAGGAGGUGGAGCAUGACAUGUAUUCCUUGUUGACAUGCUUUGCGGGUUAUUGGGAAAAAGUAGCUUGAUCCUUUACAAUAUGUGUCUCAUUGGUACUUAACAUCGACUUGGAGGCAGCAAUACAGCGAUCCAAUCCGUCCCGUGAAUGGAAUAAACUUCUGGAGAUCAUUUGGGGAGAAAACUAUUGAACCACCACCAAGAGAUGUUCCACUGCCAACAAAAAAAAAAAAAAAAAGAAGAGGAUUAAAGGAAAGAAUGAGUCCCCACAGAAUAAAAAGAAAGGAAAAGGAUUACAGGAGCCUAAGAAAAAGAUGAUUAAGCUCUCUAUGGAAGGAAGGAGUUCACACUGUGGAAGGUGUGAAAUCUCAUGUUACAAUAGCCGUAGUUGUCCAAAUGAAGGCUGUCCGGUUUAUAGGCCAAAGAAACAAGUAUCUAGACCAAGUCAAAGUGAAGGACCAACUCAACCAUCACAAAACUAGGAUUUUGGUUGAAGGUAGUGUGUCCUUUAUUGAUUUUUUUCUCUAUGACUGUUAUUGGUGUUAUUCUUAAAAACUUAUUGGUCUCGUUUUCGAAUGUGUUGUUUCGGGACAGUGUGAAGUUAGAAGAUAUUAAAGUCCCACGUCGAUCAAUAUAAUGAUCUUUGGGCAAUAUAUAUGUGUAUUGGUAAUCUUCUACUCUUGAGCUAGCUUUUAGGUGUGAGUUAGGCCCAUCACUAAUAUGGUAUCAGAACCCAUGGUUAAGCCCAGCAGAUUAUUUCCCAUAUAAACUGUUUCCUACUUAUGUACCCUGUAAAAAUGACCCAUUUUGUUGUGGUAUUUCCGAGAUGUUGGGCUUGGGCUGUUUCCACUGGACCGUUUCCCAUCCACAUCUCGAGAGGGGCUAUUAAAGUCCCACAUCGAUCAAUAUAAUGAUCUUUGGGCAGUAUAUAUGUGUAUGGAUAAUCCUCUACUCUUGAGCUAGGUUUUAGGUGUGAGUUAGGUCCAUCACUAAUAGAAGAGACGUUAGAAGAAUGGUGCUGGACACUGAAGUUUGUUUAUUCUGGUCAAUAUGAAGUUGAAAGAGGCAGUAGAAGAAGAGUAGUGUUUAGGUUAUGUAUGACUUUUAUGUUAUGAUCGGCAAUGUUGUUCUAACUCUUUUGAUAUUGGUGUUUGACUUUGUAAUGCAAUAUUUAUGUUAGUAAAUUGACUAUUUUGUCAAACUCAAACCAAUUUUAUCUAGCAAAAACUCUUAUAACACAGCUUUUUUGUCUUUUAAGAGUCCCAAUACAACUUUUUGUCGAAGAAGGAGACUCCGAUACAUCUUUUUCAAGCUCUCCGCCAAAACGACACCGUUCCCUCUGUAUAGGGUUAAAUAUUCUGUCAACCAAAACGACGUCGUUGCUUACGUGGAUAUCCUUCUUUGUCUGUGAAUAAUCCGUUAGCCAUGUGGCUAAUUGGCAGUUUUUCGCAUAAAAAAUAAACUUUGGAUAUGAAGCUUGAAUUAUUUGAAACUUUAGGUAUGUUUUCGCACCCUCCUAUACUUUGGGUAUGAAUUGAACAUAUGACCAAACUUGGGGCAGGUUAUGGCUGUUUCCCGCCCGGUCUGUGGGCAUUUUUUGUGAAACAUUUGAAUGAAACCUCCAUUUUAAAUUAAACAUUCAUGUAUGUAUAAUGAUGUUUGGCAUACGCAGAUUCUUGUGGCUGCGGCUAUAUUUUUGUUCGUUUGGCAGACGUCAGCUAUCUGCGUCCGAACGCCGCAGCAUCCAGCGUUAAUAAAUUUUGAACGCUGUAAAUUAGCAUCAAGGUCAAAAAUUCUACGGCAGAAAAUAUAACUUACAUAUUUGCCCUUACACUAUCUCAUUAUUAAAAAAAAACUAAAUCUAAUUAGAUGCAGCUUUCUCUUCAGAAUAGACGCAGAUUGUGUUAAAAAAAAAGAAUAGACGGAGAUCUCCAACUCGUCUUCUCCGAAUAGACAACGCAGCCAUGAGCUCUCUCCUUGAGCUUUGUCACCACAGUUUCGUCCUCGAGCUCUGUCUUCUCCGAAUAGACACAGUUUCGACCUCGAGCUCUCUCAUCUCUUUGUCCUCAAGCUCUUCGACGAAACCCAUCUCUUCCUUUUCUCGUCAUUGUUCUCUGUUGAGCUUUCAAAGCAAACAACGGUUCAAGCAAUAGGAGUGGCGUCAAGCUUGGUCGAGACUAUACAAGGAGCUUGCAGGCUAGGAGGUUGCUUCAAGGCUAUGGUUUUGAUGGGUAUAUGAUCAAAGAAGAGACCGGGUGUGCAAUGGUUUGUUGGCAAGAUCGACCUCUAUACUCAGUAUCUGCUUGGAGAUGAAGGAAGUGAAAGAAGAUGAAUGAUAUAAAAAAUUGUGUGUUCUCUUUUGUUUAUUAGAGCAGAUUCCUUUUCAUUUGUUAUACAUAGGGACACAAUGUUUAGUUGUUUUGUGAUUGUGACAAAUGCUUCUUACUGCUUCUGCAUAUUGCUUCUUUGAGUAUUCAGCAGUGUAUGUGUUUGUUGGUUCA
Brassica napus (rape) is the source of this 3663-nucleotide long non-coding RNA. RefSeq lists it as uncharacterized. The record is from RefSeq and is a predicted model, not a curated record. The transcript is spliced from 2 exons. NCBI's taxonomy places the organism in Eukaryota, Viridiplantae, Streptophyta, Magnoliopsida, Brassicales, Brassicaceae.